RNAcentral lists this ribosomal RNA (356 nucleotides) under uncultured bacterium. RNAcentral describes it as "bacterial SSU rRNA". It matches the Rfam family "Bacterial small subunit ribosomal RNA", at positions 1 to 334 of the family's 1533-position model. The record is from RNAcentral.
CUAGCGACUUCAGAGUUUCGAUCCUGGCUCAGGACGAACGCUGGCGGCGUGCCUAACACAUGCAAGUCGAACGGAGUACCCCUGAAUGCGGCUUCGGCCAAAUGAAGGGACUACUUAGUGGCGGACGGGUGAGUAACGCGUGAGUAACCUGCCGUGGAGAGUGGAAUAACACAUCGAAAGAUGUGCUAAUACCGCAUAUUGCAUUUAAAUCGCAUGGUUUGAAUGUGAAAGAUUUAUCGCUCCAUGAUGGACUCGCGUCUGAUUAGCUAGUUGGUGAGGUAGAGGCUCACCAAGGCGACGAUCAGUAGCCGGACUGAGAGGUUGAACGGCCACAUUGGGACUGAGACACGGCCCAG